RNAcentral lists this long non-coding RNA (1111 nucleotides) under Solanum lycopersicum (tomato). Its description in RNAcentral is "partial TCONS_00112958". Lineage: Eukaryota; Viridiplantae; Streptophyta; Magnoliopsida; Solanales; Solanaceae. The record is from RNAcentral.
AUUUUUACGGUAUAGUGCAAAUUAGAGAUAAAGCAGGUGCAGUUUGCUACGAUAAUGGAUGCUAUAUAUCUAUGGGGUUGAGUGUGUUGGGCACCUUCCAGAUCCUUUCACCAUACCAAACGAAACUCCUUUCCUUCUUCCAAAUCCUAAUUCACAAUCUGCAGAUUUUCCGAUAUUGAUCGCAAUUAUCGAUUCGUUCAUCUGCGGUUUGCUUUUUGCUAUUCCAAUUUUGUUAACAAAGAAGAAGAAGAAGCAAAUCGGAACACAAUGGGAGAACGCAAGUCUUUAUCUAAGAAAAAAUCUUCCAAAAAGAAGAGACUCAAAGUUUCUUCUAAGGUAAACUACAAGGUCUACAUCCCCAAGAGGGCUCCUGCUCUGUCCAGGAGAAAACUCAAUCGGUGAUGAGGCUCAGUUAAAUUUUCAUGCCAAUUUAAUUUCAUUUGUAGAUUAUUAAUCAAAUUUGGUGUGCUGAGACUGAGUCAGGACUUAGGUGCUAGUUGGCUGAAUUCAGAUGUUCCUGGGACAAACUACGAUGUGAAUGCUUGUGUAUCAAAAAACAUUUUCCUGCCUGUGUAGCUAUGAGCUCUUUUAUCCUCAGAAGAAAGCCGUUACAGUGAUCUUUAGCUAUGUUUGUGUAGAAUAGAAGAAAAGAACAAAAUUAAGCAUUUCACAAUGAAGCUCUCGCAUUUUCCUCAUUCUGUGUCGUUCUUUUCUGGAUGUAGUUAGUAUUUUCCGUAGUUAUUGAGAACAGAAUUAAGAGGAUAUUAUUGACCAUUUGGCUGCAGUCUGCUGAAUGUGUGUUGAAUUGUAUAAUUUAGCAGGUUCAGCUCAAACUUUUUGGUGGACUCGAACGUCUUAAAUGCUUAUGCUGAUGUAAUCCUUUGUUACUUACUGUCACUGUUGGAGAAUUUUAAACAAAUGAAUAUUUUCCCUAUUUUUGUAAAGCUUCCUGAAUCUUAUUCAUUUGUAGUUGGAGUUUACAUUGCAACUAGUUCUAGAGGGAUGUUAUCAGCAUUACAUUUCAUAAUUGCGCCACAGCCCACAUGUAUUCUACCUUGUGACAACAUACCCGAUGUAGUCCUUUUAAGUGGGGUAUAGAGAGAUUAGCAUG